GUGCCAGCAGCCGCGGUAAUACGAAGGGGGCUAGCGUUGCUCGGAAUCACUGGGCGUAAAGGGUGCGUAGGCGGGGUCUUUAAGUCAGGGGUGAAAUCCUGGAGCUCAACUCCAGAACUGCCUUUGAUACUGAAGAUCUUGAGUUCGGGAGAGGUGAGUGGAACUGCGAGUGUAGAGGUGAAAUUCGUAGAUAUUCGCAAGAACACCAGUGGCGAAGGCGGCUCACUGGCCCGAUACUGACGCUGAGGCACGAAAGCGUGGGGAGCAAACAGGAUUAGAUACCCUGGUAGUCC
Molecule: ribosomal RNA, 293 nt
Filed under: uncultured microorganism
Description: partial 16S ribosomal RNA
Rfam family: Bacterial small subunit ribosomal RNA
Source: RNAcentral